UCUCUCUCUCUCUCUCUCUCCCUUGAUCACUUCUUUUUCAUUCUUCUCAAUUUCCACCCAUAAUCAACAUCACUAAUCUCUAUUUGGAUUACUUUUAUUAAUUUUUAGGAAUUUGUUAUUAUUUUUCAAAUCCUAAGUUUAGGAAUUUUGGGGAAAUUUUCUGAGUGAUCAAGUUGUGAAACAUUAUGGAUGCUAUCAUCGAGAUUGAAGGAGAUAUUGGCCGGGUGGCUUUGGGUUCCUUGAUCAUACAGCUUUGGAUGAAUUUGAGUUUCACUGAAAAUUUAUUUUUGUUUAAGAGGAUGCCUAAUGCUGCUAUAUUCUGAGUUGCUGCCCAUUUUAGCUUGAUUCUUGCCGUCGUCAAGGAAAGAAUAGAGGAGCUGCAACCUAGUACCUACUAUUGAUAUUUUAUGGGUUGAAAAAAAAGAUAUUAAGUCUUAAGAUGAUUGAAAGUGUCGACUCAUUUGAAUACAACAACUCUUGCGGAAACCAUUACGCAACUAAACUGGAGUUAAUUGUGAAGAAGAGCUUUGUGGUAAGGAUGAGAAGAAGAAUAGCAGCUAUGUCACGAUUCUGGGCUUGGGUUUUGUGAGGAGGAGGUCUAUUUCAAGGGAAUUUCAUAGAAAUUGAAGGUGGUUUAUGGGUUUUGUUGUUAAUGAAGAGGAAGGCUAGGUGUUUUAGCUUUGACUUUGACCAGAAAUUGAGUAGAAAGGUGGUGGCAUUGGUGGCCAAGAAGGGUAAAGGAGAGAUGAUGGUUGAAGGUGAAGGUGGCUGGAGUAGAAAACAAAGUAUGGUGGUUAUUUCUUUCGAUUAAGAGGAAAGGAGGAGAGGAGCCCUUGGCUGCUGGGUAUCUCUAACUCUAAGAAAGGUCUGUUCCCUGUACAUUCAACCACAAGCGGGCUCACGCAUUUAGCUUAUUGACAUUUCAUUUCUCGAGCAUGGACGUACAUUUCUGACAAGGCUGAAUUGUGUUUAAUUACUAUAAAAUAUAAAAGCUUAAGGUUAUAUAAGUUCCAACAAAAAUUCAGAGGUGUGAUAGGUUGGUUAUAUCCAGAAGUUUAGGGGUAUGCUUAUGCACUUGGCCAAUAAAAGUUUAGGGACUUGAUAGACGAAGCAUGUGUGGUUUAGGAACCUCAGGAUGGUUUCUUCGUACUUAAUUCAAUUUUUCAUUUCUUUAUUGUUUUAAAAAUGUAACCCUUUCUUAUGUAGAUCUUUGGAGAAAUCUUGAGUAAACACUAGUUGUCUGCUCUUAAGUGAAUUUUACUUUCAAUGGUAAAAUCCAGUUUCCAGUGGUAGUGCCAGUGGUUGAAGCAUAGAGAUGGGGAUGCUCUUGUUAAGUUUUGGAUUAUCUUGUGGGAUUAAGGGGCUGUAAUCAUUGAGUAAUUCAGAAACAAGAGUUAUCUUAUUAAUGAAGAUGUUCAUGUGUUUUUAUCACGCAGAAAUACUCUAUAUGGCAUGGGAUUGAAGCAAAUAAAGGUUAGUCUCUAGUACGCACCUGGCAGUUCGUAUGGUUUACUUUCCUCGUUAGGAAAGACAAAUAACAAUAGCUGCAUUAAUUCAAAUCCUUUCCAUUGGGGAAAAAUGUGAAAUUGGUCCUUUUCCUUGAAGAUGGGAGGACUUCCCAAAUCCUCAAAACUCGAGCAGAGGUGGUUGUCCUGAAAUUCCUUUGACUUUUUCCUAGUUGACACAUGACCAAUGCCCAUUGGGCCUCCCACCCAAACAUCAAUGCCUAUCAAUAGAUGUUUGUGGUUCAAGACAUUUGAACUUUUGGGGUCGAGACAAAGUUUUGAAUUAUUCGAGUGUUAAUCGUUUCUUUUAGUAGUUUUAAUAAUCAUCGAGUGAUAAUGAUAGUAAAA
RNAcentral lists this unclassified non-coding RNA (1853 nucleotides) under Hevea brasiliensis (rubber tree). The record is from RNAcentral. Lineage: Eukaryota; Viridiplantae; Streptophyta; Magnoliopsida; Malpighiales; Euphorbiaceae.